GAUCACAAGGUGCUGCAUGGUUGUCGUCAGCUCGUGCCGUGAGGUGUCAGGUUAAGUCCUAUAACGAGCGCAACCCCUACCGUUAGUUGCCAGCAUGUCAUGAUGGGGACUCUAACGGGACUGCCGGUGCAAACCGUGAGGAAGGUGGGGAUGACGUCAAAUCAUCACGGCCCUUACGUCCUGGGCCACACACGUGCUACAAUGGCCGGUACAGAGAGCAGCCA
RNAcentral lists this ribosomal RNA (224 nucleotides) under uncultured eukaryote. RNAcentral's name for it is "partial Bacterial small subunit ribosomal RNA". It matches the Rfam family "Bacterial small subunit ribosomal RNA", at positions 1029 to 1252 of the family's 1533-position model. The record is from RNAcentral.